RNAcentral lists this ribosomal RNA (397 nucleotides) under uncultured bacterium. RNAcentral describes it as "partial 16S ribosomal RNA". It matches the Rfam family "Bacterial small subunit ribosomal RNA", at positions 523 to 918 of the family's 1533-position model. The record is from RNAcentral.
AUACGUAGGUGGCGAGCGUUAUCCGGAAUUACUGGGUGUAAAGGGUGUGUAGGCGGGAAGGCAAGUCGGAUGUGAAAAUUAUGGGCUCAAACCAUAAAGUGCGACCGAAACUGUUUUUCUUGAGGAUCGGAGAGGUAAUGAGAAUUCCCGGUGUAGCGGUGAAAUGCGCAGAGAUCGGGAGGAAUACCGGUGGCGAAGGCGAAUUACUGGACGAUAACUGACGCUGAGACACGAAAGCGUGGGGAGCAAACAGGAUUAGAUACCCUGGUAGUCCACGCCCUAAACGAUGAAUGCUAGGUGUAGGGGGUAUCGACUCCCUCUGUGCCGCAGUUAACACAAUAAGUAUUCCGCCUGGGGAGUACGGCCGCAAGGUUGAAACUCAAAUGAAUUGGCGGGG